CGCUAUCACUCCUACGGGGAGGCAGCAGUAGGGAAUCUUCCACGAUGGGCGCAAGCCUGAUGGAGCAACACCGCGUGAGUGAAGAAGGGUUUCGGCUCGUAAAGCUCUGUUGUUAAAGAAGAACACGUAUGAGAGUAACUGUUCAUACGUUGACGGUAUUUAACCAGAAAGUCACGGCUAACUACGUGCCAGCAGCCGCGGUAAUACGUAGGUGGCAAGCGUUAUCCGGAUUUAUUGGGCGUAAAGAGAGUGCAGGCGGUUUUCUAAGUCUGAUGUGAAAGCCUUCGGCUUAACCGGAGAAGUGCAUCGGAAACUGGAUAACUUGAGUGCAGAAGAGGGUAGUGGAACUCCAUGUGUAGCGGUGGAAUGCGUAGAUAUAUGGAAGAACACCAGUGGCGAAGGCGGCUACCUGGUCUGCAACUGACGCUGAGACUCGAAAGCAUGGGUAGCGAACAGGAUUAGAUACCCUGGUAG
Molecule: ribosomal RNA, 474 nt
Filed under: uncultured bacterium
Lineage: Bacteria
Description: bacterial SSU rRNA
Rfam family: Bacterial small subunit ribosomal RNA
Source: RNAcentral